This 3907-nucleotide unclassified non-coding RNA is filed under the name Hevea brasiliensis (rubber tree). Lineage: Eukaryota; Viridiplantae; Streptophyta; Magnoliopsida; Malpighiales; Euphorbiaceae. The record is from RNAcentral.
GAGCCGAAAAUAGCAGCAAAACCAGAAAAACAACCAGCCAGACCAAGAAACUAUCCCCAAAACAAAUAGACCAACAUUAACAAUAUUAUGAAAACAACACAUCUAAAAGGAUAAAACCAAAACAAGUUGAAAAAUACCCAAAAACAAGACAACAAUGAGGCAGCACCACACACAAUCAUGCCAAAAAGUCGGUAGCAACAGCACAAGAAACAAAGCAAACUUGACCACAUCUCAAAUCACCCGAUGAAGCUGAGAUCAAAGCAAUAAAGUAAAGUCUUCAAAGCGCUGGUGACCCUGUUUUGCAAGCAAGUCAGCCAUGCAAUUAGCCUCUCUAGGGUCAUGCACAAAAGAAACAGGGGGCAAAGUAUAUAUAGUGAUAGAAUUGACAGUUGCCAUGGUGCCGGAUCCGGAUUAUUAACCAAUGAAAGAGCAACUCUAGAGUCUGACUCCAUAAAUAUACCAGCAGCCAAUGUGCUAAGGUCAGGUUUGGGGGAGAAAAGAUGUAGAGCUUUCUCUAUUUCCUUCAUCUCAGCAACAUUGGAGUCAUUGCAACCUAAUUCGCUGCCCUGCCCUCCGAACCACAAACUGGGAUGCACGUCCCAGAAGGCCAGAACACGAAACUCCAGCGUUUCAAAUGAUUUGGAAUGUAUCCUGGUUCGCUGAAAUAGGCGUUUCAAAGAGGCAGGCAGUGGCAACACUAGAAAAAGAUAUGAUAAGAAGGAAAAUCAGAGGAGAAUUUGACUACAAACAACAAAAACUUUGGUAUCAGCAUUACGUUACCAUCUCAUUGAGCAGUCAUAUGAUUCAAUGUUCUUCUUCAAUAACGAGAUUUUGCCAAUCCCCAUCCCGCAUGAUUCACACCCAAUACCAACACCAAUAACAAACAUGGAGAAGAAGUUAAAACAAGUGCCAAAUUCUUCUCAAAUUUUAAACUUUAUUGUUGAAAUCCAACCAAAAUCUCUUGAUCAGAAAUUUUGCUACAGUUUCCUGGUCUGCACAUUCAUUGAUGGUGGAAUCAACAACCAUUCCAAUGCUUUCUAAUGUGAUUUAGAGUGGUUUGCAAAGAUGGAAUAUGGGUUCUGAUGAUUUUUCUAUGAGGUUGAUGCACAUUGACUUAAAAGCAAGAAUGGAAGAUCCAAAUGAACAGUCCUUUGAGCUCACCUUUCCCUUUCCCUGUGUGUCUGGAAACAAAAAGGAAGGUUGUUGGUCUUUCCUUGUUUAUUUCCAUCCGGCAAAGUCUAUCCUUCUCUUUCGUUUACUCCUACGACUUUUAGUUGUUUCCUUCAAAACAAACAGAGGGCUAAGGCCUUCUUCCUCCAAGUCAUUUGUGCUAGUUUCCAUGUAAUUCUUGAAGGUGCUUCUACUACGCUCAGUCUCACUACAACACUUGUCAUGACGACGUCUCUUGGCUUUGUACCUUUCUUCCUCAGUUUCUUGAUUACUGUCAUCAAGCAGAUGAGAUGUUCCAUUUAAAAAACUAAGAAUUCCUUUAUCCACAGAUGUCUGCGACAGAGAGAGAGGUUUUAUUUUUUUUCUAGCUGGAGACCAAGGAAUAGGUGACACAACAAAAUCAACAUAUUUCUCAUCUUGGUCAUAUAGUAGACGGACUCCACACUCGAUUACAUUACAACAAUUUAAAGGACUGUUGUUCAUAUCUUGCGGGUAAAAUUUGAUUAUGACCGCACUAAAUUUUCCAAAACUGUUAUUUUUCAUGACGUCCAAACAGGGAUCAAACCCCACGAACACAUGAUCUGACUUGAUAAAUCGUCUAUCCUUCCAGCCAUACCAACCACCAAAAUCACAAUGGAGAUCCAGGAAAUCACCAUAAUUAUUCUUGAAAUGGUAACUGCAUCUAAAUUGGAAACUGGAUUCAUCAAAACACGAAUCAAAUGCAACAAGUGCACAUAGAGUGAAACCCAAGAAAUCAUUACUAGCCCAAUAUGAAGGCAGCUCAAUUGUUAUUGAAGAUUUCCAACUUUGAUGCCCAAACCAUUUUGGAAUUGUUCUUCCUGGAAAGCAUAAGCUGGAAGGCCCGGCUGGUACAGAAUACAUCUGAUUGUGUAAUCUUUUGGUGAAAAUCUGAAUUUUCAAUAGGGCAUAUGCCAUGAUGUUAUUGCAAGCAAUCUCAUCUAAACUGAGACAAUUGGUGAAAAAGAAGUCACAGAUGUUCCCCUCAACUGCAGUCGAUUUGGUCGAAACAUUUAUCAGCGAUGUGCAAUCAUUUGCAUCUAAUUUUGUUAGCCGUGGUGGAAGCUCUGGUAACGAUAAAAGCCGCUUACAAGACCUUAGGCCAAGGUAUUGCAGCUCCGGGAAGUUCUCAAAGCUUAUAUGUAAAUGCUCAAAAUUGUUUCCACUUAAGUCCAGUACUUCCAGAGAGGAAAAGCAGCGGAUGGUGCAAGGCACAUGUGAUAUACCACAACCACUUAGGCAUAGCUUCCGCAGAUAUUCUAAAUCUGCAUUCCAGUCAGGUAAGCUGCUAUAAAAUUCAGGCAUUUUGACAAGGUUUUUGCAGUUCCCCAAUUCCAAGACAGAAAGUCCUGGAAGAUUUUUAAUUGGCAACGGUAACCUUCUUAUGGCUGUUCUGUCUAAGUAUAGAUAUCUUAAUGAAACCAUAGUCUCCAAAAUUUCUGGAAAGUUCUCAAAUUUGGAGCAGCCAGAGAGAUUAACCUUUUGGAGAGAUUUCAACUUACAAAAACUGCUUGGGAGAGUCUCGAAUUCUGUACAGUUCCUCAGAUGCAAUUCAAUUAAAUUAGACAAUGGCUCAAUUGAUGAUGGAAUUUCCUUUAUUGCUGUCCCAUCUAAAUAUAACUCCCUUAUAUUUCUUGAGACCUCAGGAAACAUGGUGAUACUUGAGCAGCCAGAGAGAAUAAGUUUUUGAAGGGAUGCCAACUUAGAAACGGUACAGGGAAGAUUCUUAAGCCUUUUGCAGUUCAUUAGAUCCAAAGUAGAGAGUCUACGAAGACAACCAAUUGAGGAAGGAAGCUCUUCUAUUGCAGUAUCACUUAAGUACAAAUAUCUGACAUUCUCAGAAAAAUCCGGAAACCUGGUGACAUUCAAGCAGCCAGAGAUAUCAACAAUUAUAAGAGACUUCAUAAAACAGACAUUGUCUGGAAGAUUCCCAAGUUGUUUACAGUCCUUCAAAUUCAAUGCAACAAGUCCACUGAGGUACCCAAUUGAUCGGGAAAGUUCUUCUACUGCAGUCCCAUUUAAAUUCAGAUACGUCAAGUUCCCUUUAAUUUCUGGACACCUCUGAAGAUUUGAGCAGCCAGAAAACUUAAGAGUCUUGAGAGAUCUCAGAUUAAUUCUACUUGGAAGACUCAUAAGACUAGUGCAGUGACUAAGAUCCAACUCAACAAGCUUGUCUAGAUACUGAACAGAUGAAGGAAAUUCUACCAAACUUGUACAGUAAUCAAAAUUCAAUCUCUCAAGAUUUGUAGCCAGUGAGAGGUCUGGAAUUGCAGUUAAGUUCUCACAAUUGCUAAGAUUAAUCUCUUUCAAAUUCACAAUAUUCUGUACUCCUCCCCACAGUUGUUGAACAUUGCCGUAAGAGAGGUCAAGUUUGACCAGGUUCUCUGGCUGAAAAGUAGAUGGCAAAGAUUUCAGAGGGAAUCCAUCCCAAUGGAGAUACCUCAACUUAUCAGGAAGUGAUCCCAGACCGUAAGGAAUGUGCACUUUGCAGUUAUUUCCAACUCCAGAGUCAUAAAUUUUGAGCAAUCUAAGAUUAUGCAUCUCAUUAAAGGCUCCAGAACUCAACUCCAUUUCUCUUAUGUUAGAAAUGUCUAAGAAUAUCCCUUCAACUUUCUCAGUUCCCAGAUUUUUGGUCAGCAGUUGAUACACAUCUCUUGGAUUCCAUAAUCUGCUGCGUUUUCCUAUCUGAUUAAUUGAUUCUUGGCGAACAAUUUCAUGA